UGAGGAAUAUUGGUCAAUGGGCGCAAGCCUGAACCAGCCAUCCCGCGUGCAGGAUGACGGCCCUAUGGGUUGUAAACUGCUUUUAUACAGGAAGAAAAAUCUCUACGUGUAGGGACUUGCCGGUACUGUAUGAAUAAGCAUCGGCUAACUCCGUGCCAGCAGCCGCGGUAAUACGGAGGAUGCAAGCGUUAGCCGGAUUCAUUGGGUUUAAAGGGUGAGUAGGCGGCUUUUUAAGUCAGUGGUUAAAUCCGGUCGCUCAACGAUAGAAUUGCCAUUGAUACUGAAAAGCUUGAGUUCAGUUGAGGUAAGCGGAAUGGGUAGUGUAGCGGUGAAAUGCUUAGAUAUUACACAGAACACCGAUUGCGAAGGCAGCUUACUAAACUGACACUGACGCUGAUGCACGAAAGCGUGGGGAUCGAACA
This 422-nucleotide ribosomal RNA is filed under the name uncultured prokaryote. Its description in RNAcentral is "bacterial SSU rRNA". It matches the Rfam family "Bacterial small subunit ribosomal RNA", at positions 355 to 774 of the family's 1533-position model. The record is from RNAcentral.